Molecule: unclassified non-coding RNA, 381 nt
Filed under: uncultured bacterium
Lineage: Bacteria
Description: contains 16S-23S intergenic spacer region
Source: RNAcentral
UCCGGCUUAACGACCGGCAGUCUUGCUAGAGUGCCCAGCCGAACUGCUGGCAACUAACAACAGGGGUUGCGCUCGUUGGAGGACUUAACCCGACAUCUCACGACACGAGCUGACGACGACCAUGCAGCACCUGUCACUCAGCUCCCUUGCGGGCACCACCCUGUUUCCAGGGUGUUCUAAGGAUGUCAAGUCCUGGUGAGGUUCUUCGCUUAGUGUCGAAUUAAACCACAUGCUCCACCGCUUGUGUGGAUCCCCGUCAAUUCCUUUAUGUUUUAGCCUUGCGGCCGUACUUCACAGGCGGAGUACUUAACGCGUUAGCUUAGGCGCGUACGGGGUCGAGACCGCACACACCGAGUACUCAUCGUUUAAGGCGUGGACUAC